CUGGGUUGGGGGAGGCAGAAGAGCUGCCCGGGCUACGCAGGCCAAGGCAAGACCAAGCUGGAUUUGAGCCCAUGCUGUUCUGACCACAAAGCCACCCUCUGUUGUCCACGUGACACUCCAGUGCCACAGGCUGGGAGUGCCCCAGGAGCACUGGAGUUCCUGUAGGUCCCAUAGCUCUUCCUAUGGGUGGAGGUGAGGGGUGCACAGGAAACUCUUCCUGCCUGGAGAAGGUGCAUGCACACGUGCGUAAGGCAUUCAGCUCUGUGAAUAAAAGCAUUCUGCUGAUUUCUGCUGCCCUGUAUCCAGACGGAAGGAAUGGAUCCAUGUUGCAGCUGGGAGCAUGGGGAAAUCUGGACACGCACUUCACCAAAAUGAGACAACUGUGGCAGGAGACAGGCUAAGGCGAGUGGGGACAAAUCAAUGUGCUGGAUGCCCUGGUGUACCUGUGACGAAGAAGCAGGAGCUGGGAAGAGAGAGGAAAAGGAAAUAGACAAGUGAAUAAAUAAAUAAGAGUUCAGAAACCCCGUCUCCACCAAAAAUACAAGAAAUUAGGUGGGCAUGGUGCUGGUGCCUGUAGUCCCAGCUAUUCGGGAGGCUGAGGC
Molecule: long non-coding RNA, 602 nt
Filed under: Homo sapiens (human)
Lineage: Eukaryota; Metazoa; Chordata; Mammalia; Primates; Hominidae
Description: HSALNT0037826
Source: RNAcentral